AUUAUAUGUGGUGAUUAUUGAUGUCCUGAUUUGUUGUUCUUGCCUAAGAUAAGUUUUGCCCUUCUUUUCUUGUUGGGGUUUGAGAUCGAUGAAGCGCAAGUUUCUUAGAGGAAGUUAGAAUAUGGUCAAUUUUCUCUACGCCAUUAACUCCAUGGCACUGCCUCACAUGUGAGACUAUAUAUUUUCUUCCUCCGUCUGUUUGGAUCUCUCUUACGUGUAUAGAUAUAUAAUGCAUGCCUGUCUUGUGAGAUUUGUUCUUGUAGCAAUUUAGGGGAAGAACAUAAGUUUGCUGAUUAAUUUGAGUGUCUCUUAAUUACUUAUUCACUUUCAUUUUCUUUUAAUCUUGCUUCAUUUUUUAAAUGAAAAACUCUGUUUAAUUAUAACAUCUUUAAUUACACUUAUUAUGUAUUGAAAAGUCUAUUAAAUUGUGAAAAUUAAUUCGUGAUAUCCUUUAUCUCUGUAGAUGAUUCCUUUUCCCUUUACUCAUGAUCAUGUAGAUGUGUCUGGUACUAUAAUAAAUUCUAUAUUCGACCUUAAUUAUUUAACUGUUUCAGUUUUUUCGUUUGAGCGAUUCUCAUUGGAUGUGGAAGGCUUUUACACAAGGGGCAUGCUAAUAAAGUAUUCAUAUAGCUCAAGCAUUGGAUUAAGUGACGGCCAUUUAAUCUUUAGUAGUGCAGAUCCAUUUACAAAAGUAUGGUGACAACAUAUGCAGAAGGAGCCUGCUUGUGAGUUGCACGACAUUAAUGCUCAAUAUAAUUUAAUUUAUGGUGUUUCUCUUUACUUUGGUUGUUGUAGGAUGUUACAUGUUUUGUCUUUGUCUAGAAGCUCGAUCUGGAUUAGCUCCAUGAAACCUUUCUAAGAUUCCCAAAGACAGUACCCAUGUCAAAGAAACGUCACCAAUCGGCCUCUUAUGUAUUUUCUUUUUGUCUUCAUCAUAAUUUCAGGUAUUGGAAGACAAGGUUUCUGGGUUCCUUGAUAGAGUUCGUACAAGACAUUAAUGGGACUCUCACAUGAAGUCUACCAACCCUAGCAGGCAUAUAUCUUCUUGACUCUGGCAUUAUUGUUCAGUUACUUAUAAUUACUCAUUGGUCUGUACUUGGAACAUAAAUAUUUAGGCUGCCAAAAGAAUUUCAACGCCAUGGUUUGAACUUUGAAGUUAGAAGCCAUAGCAUAAGCUGAUAAUCAGCACUGACUUCUUCAUUUCAGGGAUUUGACUAUUUAAGUUAGGGUACUGACCCUUUUUGGCAUUAAUGUAUCAGUUAGCACCCAGAAAAGUAAAGUGGAUGAUUCACUGUUUUCUCAAAAAAAUAAAAUUGAUGCUCUGGAAUGGAAUCUCAGUGUAAGAUCUUAUACAUAGAAAUUAGGCUGGUCAGCUCCUCUUCUUUACAAUAUCGAUCCCACAAGGGUUUAUACAGGGUGCUUAGGAAGACGUGAUCUCAAGUACUAUAUUUGGAUUGCUUAUGGAUGGAUUUCUGUUUCUUUGUGGACCACUGCGAUGGAACCUUUUCUUGAAAAAAAACAAGAUAGAUCUUCAUUGAUUAAAUUAAAAACCGUAGAGGAUGAGUUACUGUGGCUCAAAGAAACCCACAGACAACUAGUUAUAUAUUGGUACAUAACUCAUGUGAAUUAUG
Molecule: long non-coding RNA, 1631 nt
Filed under: Populus trichocarpa (black cottonwood)
Lineage: Eukaryota; Viridiplantae; Streptophyta; Magnoliopsida; Malpighiales; Salicaceae
Description: long non-coding RNA (PTRI_LNC004532)
Source: RNAcentral